AUGGGGCUGGAAGGCCAGCAGGUCGGUGGAGGAGAUGAGGCGCCUGGCCACAGGCAGCUACAAUAUGUAGCUGGUUGGGACCCAGUGUCAGCUAAUGCACUGCCCGGGCCAAGGUGUGAAAUGGCCGGUAGAUCUUACGCUCUGGCUCUCCGGGCUGAGAAGCCCAGACAUCACGUUCCAGGAGGCACAACCGGAAGACAGUGGCCCACAGAAGAAAAGUCUGCAGAUGGCAGGGCACCCCGCGCACAUGCAAACUCCUGGUUAGCAGCAGCUGUUGCGGUGAGCCCAGGCCGCAUCACAGAUGACUGAUACUUGAGUUUAAGAAUAACGUCUGGCCAGUCAGAUCAGCAAAAGAUACAGAUGAGACAGAGCAGUGGCAUCUCCCUCUGAGGGGGUCUUAAAAGAAUUUAGACAGUUUUCCGAAAGAGUCGGUUUAGAUCAAGUGACUCUUCUGGAAUAGCAAAAUAGGAAACUGAUUGUAUGAGACUUCUUGAGUUUCUGUUAUGCUUAUCCUUGGAGAAUGGGGAAGCAAAAGCAGUUUUCUACCCGUGUUUUGGCAUAUUCCUACAAAACAGUAUUUUAAUAUUCUUUCUUUAGAGGAACAAAAGCAAAAUUUACACCUUAGGAGUUCCGGUGUUAAGAAUGUUGUUCUCUACAGCGUACGGUGGAUCAGAGACCUGCGGCCCUCAGCGCAGCCGGGCCAGAGAACCACCAACAGCAAGACCGGGCCCUUCGAUCUCCUCCCGACUGUGUUCUCAACCACCAUAAAACUAGCUGAGGGUGGCCAUUUGGUUAAGAUCUGAUUUUUAGAUAAAUAAAAAAAUUUAUCUGAAAUAAAUAUUUCAGGUAAAUAUUCAGAUAAAUUCAGAUCUGAUUUCAGAUAAAUUUUUCAAAGUGUGAGUAUAUCCCAUGCACUAUGUAGGGUACAUUACAAAGUUAUUUGCUGUUUAUCCAAAGUUAAAUUUAACUAGGCAGCCUAUUUUGUCUGUAUUUUACCCCAACAAGCCAGUGGUGCUGGGGGCCCGCUGAGUAUGAGAGGAAAGAAACCUGUGAGGGAAAUUCUCAGACGCGAGCGCAGCAGACAGGGAAGACCCUGCUUACAGUCCCGGGGUCCCACUGCCCGGGGUUCACAUCAGGGCUCCACCGAGCCCACGGACUCUGGACAAGUUGCUUAACCUCUGUCAUCUUCAUCGUAGUGACAGCAACAGCACAUAGGGUUGUUGCAAAGACAACCACGAGUUAGUUCAUGCUUGUGAAGCCCUCGGCUCAGCGCCUGGCACGAAGCAGCUUUCGUUGUAACUGUCAGCUUCUCAUGUUAGAAGCUGGACGGCGGGGCUGGCCCUGCUUCUGAUGGAGAGAGGUGGCGGGGGAAGGCCUGGAAGGGAGGGCCAGAGGACAGCUGAGGUCCAGUCGAGGCUGGGCUGUGCCAUGAAGCAUUGCUUAUUGUGAGGACACUCUGAAGCACGCCUCGACCCCAACAAGACAAUCUAAGAAACAGGGUCCGCCUGCCCAGCCCAUCACGUCAUCGGGGACCCACCUGAGCCACACGCAGCGGAUGCGGCUGCUCCCACCCGCUCCCACCGGCUCCCGGACUCUGCACCUGCCCCACUCCAGGCUCUGUGGCAUCUCACUGGGAGCCGACGCUCGGCCACACCGGGCAGAUGUAGACCGCAGAAACUGGCAAACUCGGCGAUCAGGGCCCUUUCCCCACCUCUGGGACAGGCCCAGACGGAGCACCAGAGAGACUGGGGGCGGGGUGUGGGGGGUGAAUGGCGCCCCUUCUCCAUUUUCUCCUUUGGCUACAGAAUCCAAAUAAAGAGGCCUCUGUCUCCAUUGUAAAAGCCUGACAUACAAGUGCUUAAUUCAGUUAAAACAUGAGGGUGAGCCGAGGAAGAAAUGAAUCUGGCACGUUCUGAGUCUUCCCGCAGCUCAGAACCCAUCCCGCGACACCAAUUAACCUGUGAGAAUAUCAACCUAAAGAUUCUUUUGAUAAUCUCAUUUAACAACAUGAUAAUUAUUGUUUUGUUUUCUAAGGGAUGGAUUUCUUUGUUCAUAUCCUUGACACCAUGUCCCUCCCAUCCCCCCGCCCGCCACGCCCCGCCUUAAACAACAUAGGCAUUUGCAG
Molecule: long non-coding RNA, 2125 nt
Filed under: Mustela putorius furo (domestic ferret)
Lineage: Eukaryota; Metazoa; Chordata; Mammalia; Carnivora; Mustelidae
Description: lncRNA (ENSMPUG00000030501.1)
Source: RNAcentral